This 300-nucleotide ribosomal RNA is filed under the name Triticum aestivum (bread wheat). RNAcentral describes it as "partial small subunit ribosomal RNA". Lineage: Eukaryota; Viridiplantae; Streptophyta; Magnoliopsida; Poales; Poaceae. The record is from RNAcentral.
GAGGGAAAUAUCAUUUACCCGAAGCACACCACUCGCCAAUGUCGACUCCUGAUCCAGCAGUUUCAGGGAAAACAGCCUAAGGACAAGGAGAAGGAGUCGGACAAGGCCGAAGACAAGGAGGACAGUGAGGAAGGAUAUCCGCAUAUCAACUCCACUCUGAUGAUCUUUGCAGAUGUGGAAAGCAGAAGUCGACUGAAAGUGAUUAACCGAGAGGUGAACAUGGUUGCCCCCGCAAAGGCAAAUUAUCUGAAGUGGUCUCAAACACCCAUCACAUUCGACCAAUCUGAUCACCCGACUCAU